Molecule: ribosomal RNA, 338 nt
Filed under: Rhinophora sp. n. AT-2015
Lineage: Eukaryota; Metazoa; Arthropoda; Insecta; Diptera; Rhinophoridae
Description: partial small subunit ribosomal RNA
Source: RNAcentral
UAUUAGUUAUGUUCUUUAACUUAAAAAAUUUGGCGGUAUUUUAAUCUAUUCAGAGGAACCUGUUCUGUAAUCGAUAAUCCACGAUGGACCUAACUUAAAUUUGUAAUCAGUUUAUAUACCGUUGUUAUUAGAAUAUUUUAUUAGAAUGUUAAUUUUCUUAAUUUUUAAUUAUAAAAAUAUAUCAGAUCAAGGUGUAGCUUAUAUUUAAGUAGAAAUGGGUUACAAUAAAUUUAUUUAUGUGGAUAUAAAUUUGAAAUAUUUAUUGAAAAUGGAUUUGAUAGUAAAAUUAUAAAGAUAAAUAAUUUGAUUAUAGUUCUAAAAUAUGUACAAAUCGCCCG